ACCCCGGUAGCUCACCUGGACAGAGCGACGGAUUCCUAAUCCGUAGGUAGGAGGUUCGAGCCCUCUCCGGGGUACCA
This 77-nucleotide transfer RNA is filed under the name Verrucomicrobiota bacterium. Its description in RNAcentral is "tRNA-Arg". It matches the Rfam family "tRNA". From Rfam's summary of the family: Transfer RNA (tRNA) molecules are approximately 80 nucleotides in length. Their secondary structure includes four short double-helical elements and three loops (D, anti-codon, and T loops). The record is from RNAcentral. RNAcentral also lists the same sequence under 3 other names. Lineage: Bacteria; Pseudomonadati; Verrucomicrobiota.